UUUUUUUUUGCGGGAAUAAUACUUGUAUUACUCAAAGAUCAAGUUCUUACAAUCAUCUCGGACAAUCGACAAAAUCUCCUCCGGGCCUGAACCGACCCACGUAAUUGUCCGACCCUCGACUCUAGCAAGACUAGCUAGUUUAUCGCUCGCUUUAUUUUGAUGAGGAAGAAGAGUAAUACAAGAAUUUUGAAGACUCGGUAAGUACUUUAUUGGGACUGUCUAUUUGACAUUUGACUGUUUUUUAAUUCGAAAACAGUCAAAUUUCCCGACCAAUCAACACAAUACAUCUGUAUUAGCAGCAAAAUCAUCAAAAAACAGAAAAGAACACCUAAACGGGUCGGGUAAACAUCUCACGCGGUUCGUCCUGGACAAACAAACCCCCCUCCCGAUCAGGGGACCACAUAGCACAUGCUAGCAAGUUUGCAACGCAUGCAAAGACCAAGCCCCUCCACAAAACAGGGCUAGAACAAAUCUGGGAGCCGCCCAUGGGAGAGGCAGCCAUGGCAGAUCGGGGAGGAGGAGAAGGAAGAGCAAACACAAAAUUCGGAGAGGGAAAUGUACCUGAGGAGAAGCAGCAGGGAGAUCAACAACACGAUCAUCUACAGGUCAGCAAAAACAGUCGGACACCAACUCCCUCAUCCAUCAUCUCUCUUCACCUCUUGCAAGAACAAAAACUGAAGGAGUUUCCUUCAUGUACAAAACAGAUAGAUCAACAUCAGAGAACAUCCCAGAAAAUUCCAUAGUGUAAAAAACCAGAAAAUUACAGUGUAAAUCCCCAUGUAACUAGUCUUGUUCCUAACAGAUUACACUGUAAAUUCCCCAUAAAUUCCAGUGUAAAUUAUACAUUGUAAAUACACAAAAAUUACAGUGUGAAUCAUAGACAUCAGAAAACAUUUCAGGAACCUAGUCAAUUUCCAGUGUAAAUCCUAGAAUUUUACAGUGUAAAUCCCCAUGUAAAACCAGUCAAUUUCCAGUGUAAAUCCCAGAAAUUACAGUGUAAAUCCCCAUGUAAACUAGUCAAAAUUCCAGUGUAAAAUCCCAAAAAAUUACAGUGUAAAUCCCCAUGUAAAACCAGUCAAUUUCCAGUGUAAAUCCCAGAAAUUACAGUGUAAAUCCCCAUGUUAACUAGUCUAAAUUCCAGUGUAAAAUCCCAGAAAAUUACAGUGUAAAUCGCCAUGUAAACUAGUCAAAAUUCCAGUGUAAAAUCCCAGAAAAUUAUAGUGUAAAUUUCCAGUGUAAACUAGUCAAAAUUCCAGUGUAAAUCCCAGAAAAUUAGAGUGUAAAUCCCCAUGUAAACUACUCUUGCACCUAGAAAAUUCCAGUGUAAAAUUCCCAUAAAUUCUAGAAUAAAGAAAUGAUGGAAUUACAUUGAAAAGUAUACACUGUAAAAUCCCCAUAAAUUCCAUUGUAAGCAUGUAGACAAAAGAUGAAGUUACAGUGUAAAUCAUAGACAUCAUAAAAAAUCCCCAUGUAAAUCCGGUGUAAAUCUAGUCAAAAAUCCAGUGUAGAUCCUAGAAAAUUACAGUGUAAAUCCCCAUGUAACUAGUCUUGUGCCUAGAAAUUUCAAGUGUAGAUUUCCCAUAAAUUCCAGAGUAAAGAAAAUGGUGUAAUUACAUUGAAAGUACACUUUACAGAGUAAAAAAUGCAGUGAAGACAAAUGAUGUACUUACAGUGUAAAUUACAUAGUAAAUUAAACUGUAAAUGCAGACUUACAGUGUAAAAUAUGAAAAUUACACUGUAGCUACCUGGAAAUUUUCCACUGUAAAAUCCCUAGAAAUUCCAGUGUGAAAUUAAACAUGUAAAAAUCCAGUGCAAAUCUAAGGGUUUUUACACUGUAAGUACCUAGUAAAUUGCAGUGCAAAACCCCUAGAAAAUACAGGGACUAUCUCCUGCCCCUCUCCCAAUAGAAAGAAGCAUUUCAAAAAAAAAACUUUCAUCUAUUACUAAACGCUUUGCUGCUCAUGAUUAUGUUAACACUGACAUUCUGCUUUCCAAAUGUCACGGGAGAGGAGCGUGAUGAGGGUAGUAACUGAAGAGGAUCUACUAAGAUUGCCAUAGGAAGAACUCAUACUAAAUGUGAGGUGCAAUUGCUUUGGGAAUAUGUUUAAAAUACAUAAAAGGGUAAAAAGCUAACAAUAAAAACAUUUUCUUUCACUGCGCUCCUUCAUUCCGACAUUAUAUACAAGGUAAAAAUCCCAAAAUCAAAAAAAUACCAGGUACAUUCAGGAGAUGUCUAAAAAAAGAACUUGUGAUGAACCUUGCACGUACAUUCAGGAGAGGGAUCUACGAACAUCACCGAAACUAUCUACGAAAACUCCAGGAGCAAAUCAGAUGACAGUUUCAUCACAACAAGAGAUGACAAUGUAAGCAAAGCAACAGCUGAAUAACUAUUACAGGAAAAUGCCGAAGGAAAACACACUAACAAUCAAUAAACUUACUUUGCAGACACUGGAGGCAGAAUUGCAUCAGGAAAUGCCAGCAAGCGAAGAUGGGGGAGGAGAAUCCAAUCCCUGGAACACAAACCUGUUCUACAACAUGAAUCUGCAACAGGAACCAUCUUCUGCAAAAUCAUUAGGCACGAAAGGUUCACCCCCAGAAUCUGCACUCUCUAAAGAUGAUACUACAGGAACAUCCGGAUGAGAGGCUUUCCGUAGCUUACCCAUUUAAACCUAUAAACAAGGAGGACAAAAAGGAAAAAGAAGUUAAAUAACAGUGAAAGGCAUCCAAUUAAAACAUACAAAAUCACUGUAAUCUAACUGACAAUUACAGUACUGAACCAUAGAAACUAUAGAGUAAAAGUUGGUGAAAAAUAAAGUUAGCUGAAGCAUUUGAAAAGUCCUAUAGUACCAAUCCAAGCAAAGUACAGUGACAUUGUCGGGUAAAACUACAUUCAAAUUACACUUCCAAUCCGCUGUAAUUACACUAGGACAAUUCACUGGAAAAACAUUAGGUAAAAAAAACUGCAAGACAAAGUGCACUGUAAGCUUGGGAUAAAAUUACACUGUAAAUAAUGUGUAGCUUACACUGUAAACUUGGGACAAAUUCACUGUAAAAAUUGGAUACAUUACACUGUAAGUGCAGGACAAAUUCCACUGUAAACAUUGGGUACAUUACACUGUAAGUGCAGGACAAAUUACACUGUAAACUUGGAACAAAAUAUGCUGGGAUUACACUGUAAAAAUUGGCUAGAAUACACUGAAAAGUGCUAUACAUGAAGGGGGGCAUGUACAUAAUCCCCCAACUCCCUUCAGAAAAUUACACUGAAUGCGCUGUCACAAAUUACACUGAAAUUAAACUCAAAAAAUACAUGCCUGCUUGAACUCAAAACAUCAUACAAACAUCUUAGGUGAAUUAUACAUCAGCAUGAUAAAAAACCUAACCCUGUAUAGGCACAAAAGCAAGCUACAUAGCUGCAUACAGCAGCAAGCAUCAGGAAUAAAUAGACCAGAACACAAAAAUCCGCGGAAUCACGCACCUGAGAGGGGUGGGGGGGGGGUGUCACAUCUACAUAAUCCCCCAAACUACAACAACCCGGACAGGAGACAGGAAAACAACCACCGCAUCUACAACUACAUCAGCGGCGCGGGGAGGCGCACAAAUCACGCACCUCCACCUCCAGUAGGGAGUCAACCAUAAAAUCAUGCAUCUAUUAUGCAUCUCCAACUACAAAACAGGUGCUCGGGAAGACACAAAUCACGUAUCUCCAACUCCGGCAGGUAGUCAACAAAGUCAUGCAUCUACAACUACAAGCAGGUGCUCGACGGCACACACACAAAUCAGUCAUCUCCACCUCCAGCAGGGAGUCAACAACAUCAUGCAUCUACAACUACAACAGCGUGCGAGACGACAAGGGCACGACGACAGGAACGACAUGAACUCACCUGGAUCUGGAACCAAGACGCAAGCAAAAAGCACAUGGGCAGAGAGCGGAAGAGAGCGGGAGAGAGGAACAAAAGAAAGGAACCGAAAUCAAAAUUGAGCGGCGAGAAUCGCCAUGGACAGAGAGAAUCGCCUACUGUGCUAUGCCGCUCGAGCUCGCCCUCGAGCUUAUCGAAACAGAGCGUCCAGAAUGGGGAAAGUGCAAAAGACACGCUCUCCCAAAUUCAAACAAGACAAAAACCGAACAGAGCUGGACCGGCGAUAACGGGCGGACAGAAAACCGCGCCCGGCAAAAAAAAAGCGGACCCGGAAACGAACCCGAACAAAAAACAAAACCAGCGCGAAUCUCGGCGCAAAAACGGACGGACAACAAUUCGAAUGACGACGAAUUACAAAACACUCAGCUGUAAAAUAGCAAAUCAGACUUUAUUUCCA
This 4314-nucleotide long non-coding RNA is filed under the name Triticum aestivum (bread wheat). Its description in RNAcentral is "long non-coding RNA (TAES_LNC024391)". Lineage: Eukaryota; Viridiplantae; Streptophyta; Magnoliopsida; Poales; Poaceae. The record is from RNAcentral.